GGCACCUAAGACAAUAGAUUACAAAGCCAGUCAAGUUUUCAUACGAGGCAAUCAUAUGGAAAGCAAUUAGGAAACGUUAGGAGGGAAUAGGAAUAUGCUUUAAACAUUGGGUUCACAAUUGGUGAUGGAAGGAGAAUGCCAUUUUGGAGUAACAAUUAGUUAGGGCAUGAUCCUCUUAAGGAUUUGUUCUCUGAUUUAUUUUGCUUAACAACUACAUCUUAGGCUACAUUAGAGGAGGCAUGGAGUUCUAGAGGAUGGAACCUUUCUUUCAAAAGUCAAAGGACUAGGAGAAAAGGGUGACUGAAAAGCUGAAGACGGAUCCUCUUAAGGAUUUGUUCUCUGAUUUAUUUUGCUUAACAACUACAUCUUAGGCUACAUUAGAGGAGGCAUGGAGUUCUAGAGGAUGGAACCUUUCUUUCAAAAGUCAAAGGACUAGGAGAAAAGGGUGACUGAAAAGCUGAAGACGGUUUUUUUUCAUGGUUCCAGGAAUGAUGAGGAUUCAGUUACAUGGAAUGGAGGAAAAAACAAGAGAUUCUCAGUUAGUUCUGCAUAUUCCUUACUUUUAGAAUCAGCUCACACCCCAGAUUGGUCAUGGAAGUUAUCUAGAAAAUAAAAGUUCCCUACAAGGUGACAUUCUUUUGCAGGGCUUGUUAUCAAGAGAGCUUGUUGACUCAUGACAUUAUAAAAGACAGGGAUUCAACUAAGUUCCAGCUGCUUUUUGUGCCAAGAGAAGGAAGAAAGUAAUAGUCACCUCUUCCUUCAUCGUAAAGUAACUCAUGUACUGUGGCAGUUAUUCUUUGCCUUAGCUGAGAUCCAAUGGAUGAUCCCAAAGAACACUAACCUACUAAGGACCUAUU
Molecule: long non-coding RNA, 857 nt
Filed under: Capsicum annuum
Lineage: Eukaryota; Viridiplantae; Streptophyta; Magnoliopsida; Solanales; Solanaceae
Description: long non-coding RNA (CANN_LNC021989)
Source: RNAcentral